UACGGGGGGGGCAAGCGUUGUUCGGAAUUACUGGGCGUAAAGGGUUCGUAGGUGGCCGACUAAGUCAGACGUGAAAUCCCUCAGCUCAACUGGGGAACUGCGUCUGAGACUGGCCGGCUUGAGUGCAGGAGAGGAACGCGGAAUUCCAGGUGUAGCGGUGAAAUGCGUAGAUAUCUGGAGGAACACCGGUGGCGAAGGCGGCGUUCUGGACUGCUACUGACACUGAGGAACGAAAGCCAGGGGAGCAAAC
Molecule: ribosomal RNA, 250 nt
Filed under: uncultured bacterium
Lineage: Bacteria
Description: partial 16S ribosomal RNA
Rfam family: Bacterial small subunit ribosomal RNA
Source: RNAcentral